RNAcentral lists this ribosomal RNA (253 nucleotides) under uncultured bacterium. RNAcentral describes it as "partial 16S ribosomal RNA". It matches the Rfam family "Bacterial small subunit ribosomal RNA", at positions 524 to 776 of the family's 1533-position model. The record is from RNAcentral.
UACAGAGGUCCCAAGCGUUGUUCGGAUUCACUGGGCGUAAAGGGUGCGUAGGUGGUGGGGUAAGUCGGAUGUGAAAGCUCGGAGCUCAACUCCGAAAUGGCAUUGGAAACUACCCUGCUAGAGGAUUGGAGGGGGGACUGGAAUACUUGGUGUAGCAGUGAAAUGCGUAGAUAUCAGGAGGAACACCGGUGGCGAAGGCGGGUCUCUGGGCCGAUACUGACGCUGAGGAGCGAAAGCGUGGGGAGCGAACAGG